RNAcentral lists this small RNA (681 nucleotides) under Pongo abelii (Sumatran orangutan). Its description in RNAcentral is "retained intron". The record is from RNAcentral. Lineage: Eukaryota; Metazoa; Chordata; Mammalia; Primates; Hominidae.
AGAGGGCGAGGGGUGCGUGUGCGUCCGCUUCUCACCUCAGGUCUCCCUUCGGCCCCGCUGCCCUCCCUCGCGGUUGGGUGACAGCUGGGUCCGGUCCGUCGCGGGCUGCCUGGGGCGCGAGGAUCGCGCACCCCGUCUUCGCGCGCGGUGCUUGCCGCCCCGCCCCCUCGUCCCGCCCGUCCCGUCGCGUCGCGUCCCGUCCCCUCGGGUGCCGCCAGCCGGGUGCUGGUGCGAGUCGGUGGCAGCGAGGACAUUUUCUGACUCCCCGGCCCCUGACCCGGCUGCACUUUACAUCCCGUCGUGGGGCCGGCCGCUACUCCGGCCCCAGGAUGCAGAAUGUGAUUAAUACUGUGAAGGGAAAGGCACUGGAAGUGGCUGAGUACCUGACCCCGGUCCUCAAGGAAUCAAAGUUUAAGGAAACAGGUGUAAUUACCCCAGAAGAGGUGAGUGCUGAAGAUAUACUGAAGCCUUUUUAUUUUACAAUAAUAACAAACUAGGUGGCUUUUCUGCUUCAUAAGAAAACAUCUUGAACUUUAAUUUUGAUUUGAGUAAAAUUAGGUUUUAUGACUGUGAUUUAUGGGAAUUUCUACUUCCCAUAGAAGAAAAGAUGUAACUUCCCCGUCAAUUUGCCACUUCUCAUAUUUCUCUGUAAUUCCUCUUUAUUGAGAAAUGAGGGUGAAA